UACGGGGGGGGCAAGCGUUGUUCGGAAUUACUGGACGUAAAGGGCUCGUAGGUGGCCAACUAAGUCAGACGUGAAAUCCCUCGGCUUAACCGGGGAACUGCGUCUGAUACUGGAUGGCUUGAGAUUGGGAGAGGGAUGCGGAAUUCCAGGUGUAGCGGUGAAAUGCGUAGAUAUCUGGAGGAACACCGGUGGCGAAGGCGGCAUCCUGGACCAACACUGACACUGAGGAGCGAAAGCCAGGGGAGCAAACGGG
Molecule: ribosomal RNA, 253 nt
Filed under: uncultured bacterium
Lineage: Bacteria
Description: partial 16S ribosomal RNA
Rfam family: Bacterial small subunit ribosomal RNA
Source: RNAcentral